This 447-nucleotide ribosomal RNA is filed under the name uncultured bacterium. RNAcentral's name for it is "bacterial SSU rRNA". It matches the Rfam family "Bacterial small subunit ribosomal RNA", at positions 331 to 794 of the family's 1533-position model. The record is from RNAcentral.
CCAGACUCCUACGGGAGGCAGCAGUGGGGGAUAUUGCACAAUGGGGGGAACCCUGAUGCAGCGACGCCGCGUGGGUGAAGGAGUGCUUCGGCAUGUAAAGCCCUAUCGGCAGGGAAGAAGGAGGACGGUACCUGACUAAGAAGCCCCGGCUAACUACGUGCCAGCAGCCGCGGUAAUACGUAGGGGGCAAGCGUUAUCCGGAUUUACUGGGUGUAAAGGGAGCGUAGACGGCCAGACAAGUCAGAAGUGAAAGCCCAGGGCUCAACUCUGGGACUGCUUUUGAAACUGCCGGGCUGGAGUGCAGGAGAGGUAAGCGGAAUUCCUAGUGUAGCGGUGAAAUGCGUAGAUAUUAGGAGGAACACCAGUGGCGAAGGCGGCCUACUGGGCUUUUACUGACGCUGAGGCUCGAAAGUGUGGGGAGCAAACAGGAUUAGAUACCCCGGUACA